AUGCUACACCUCAUCAGGAGACAGGAAUUUUGGCCUGGAGUGCCAAAACUGCUGCUGCAGCCAGAAAAGGAGCUGCUUCCAGGAGGUGCUCGUCAGUACCUGGGGAGAUGCUGCAGCAGUGGCUUGUGGUCAGCUCGCCAGUUACGUUUCUUCAGCCUCUGCAUUGCCUGGCAGCUGAGCACCGCUUCGAGUCACUUAAACAAAACCAACUCUGAAAGCAAAACUCCGACGGAGCUUCUGAGUCUCACCCAGCUUCACACUCACACCGGGGGAAGGGGAAAUCGCACGCAAGGGAGCUUUUCCUCCUUCACCUCCCAGUGUGAAUGUGGAUGUAUGAGCAAUGAAUGGCAAUGGGAAAGGAAAUGCAGAGAAACCACACAACGAUUUACUGGGGCUUUAGCAAAAUAUUAUCAUUCUUAAUGUUUGUCGGCAUGUGGCAACUUUCUUUGAACCAGGGAUAGUUUAAAUUCCUUCUUGCUUUGAAGACUUAAUUUUCUCCCAUAAAGAUUAUGGAGACUGUCUUGGAUAAUUUUAGGACUUAGGCACACUAUUUGCUGAGCUCAGGCAUGUUUUGGACCAUGUAUAUUUUAUUUGCCACCUGCCAGCUCGUGUUCACAUUUUCCCAAAGUCUAGAGGUCACAGACAAAUCUUGAGCAAAGCCAUUUGCUACGGCCCAGAUCCCGCGUUGCACGUGCAUGGCCUGAGAGCCCUGCUUGCAUACAGGCACCACUCAAAACUUAUUAAAUGAUGUUUCCAGGCAGAGCUAGAUCCCCAGCCUUGCAAACAGUGGCUCCGGUAAGUAACUUUGCAGACGGCCACAUGACAACCGCAGGCAUGACGUGGUGUCUGUCUCGUUGUUUGCUGGUGGCACUCGGGGGCCACAGCCUGGGAGGAGAACAUCGGGCUGGAGGGCAAAGGAGAUGUCUGGGCACUACACAGGGCUCGUCUGGGUCCUCUACAGACUGAAGCUCAUCCCCUGGCCAUGACGCAAAAUCCUCCAAGCUCAGUGAGCCAGGGUUGGUAGGCAACUGUGAGCCAACAGAAAUGCCUCAGUCGCUCUGAAUACAGCCAAGCCAGGAAUUCGCCCAAUCUCUGAUUUGGCCAACGCAGAAUGGACAAAAAACAUUUGGAGGUGACAUGAGAAAUCACCGUGCUCCAGCCCUGGGGACUUUUAUUAAGGAGAAGGUGGGGAUGAGGCCUGAAGACAGCACAUCAGCAUCAAACACCCAGCUCUUUGGUUAACAGGGGAAUGCUCUGAAAAGGACUGAUAGAUGAAACCCAAGGCAGACAAAUUCAAAAUAAAGCCUGUAGACAUAGCA
Molecule: long non-coding RNA, 1319 nt
Filed under: Anser brachyrhynchus (Pink-footed goose)
Lineage: Eukaryota; Metazoa; Chordata; Aves; Anseriformes; Anatidae
Description: lncRNA (ENSABRG00000002491.1)
Source: RNAcentral